CAUCAACCAAUAUCACAGCAUGUGAAGCGUCUGAAGAUUGUGCUGAACAGCACAGUAAUGUUACAUUAACUGGAUAGAUCUAGAAUGUGACCAUGUUCGCUUUAAGGAUUAUCAUUUUUAUUACACUUCUUCUUCUUCUUAAUUAUGAUCUUUGUUCUUGUCAGUGUGCUCAUGCUGAAUAUAAAAUAGACAAGCAAUGCUGUCCAAUGUGUGCCCCUGGAAACCACGUUCGUUGGCACUGCACAGAUGACACCAGCACAACUUGUGUUCCAUGCCCUCCAUUAACUUUCACUGAUGAACCAAAUGGCCUCGUGGAAUGCUUUCCCUGUACUGUAUGUGAUGCAAACCAAGGUUUAAGACAGAGUGAAGUAUGCACUCGGUCAUCAGAUACGGUUUGUGGGCCAAUGGAGAGAUUCUACUGCAUUAAAGAAGAGAAAGGCAGCUGCACUUUAGCUGUGCGACAUUCUGAAUGUAACCCUGGACAAUAUAUCAAACAAGCAGGAACUGGCUCCACAGAUCCUGUAUGUGCUGACUGUACAGGUGACACAUAUUCAAACGGAUCUUUCUCAUCCUGUUUACCACAUACAAAAUGUGAGGCCAUGGGACUUGCUGAAACAAAUCCAGGGACACAUUCAUCAGACUCUGAAUGUGGAAAUCUCCGUACUGCUGUAGCAAUAAUUGCCUCUAGUGUUAUAGUUACUUUAUUAUUAAUUACAGUAAUAAGUGUGUUAAUAUUUAAACACAUUCGGAAGAAGAAACAAUCUAAAAGUUCAGGUAAGCUUUAUUCACUUAUUUUUGUAUGACAGCUAUGGUUUUUGUUUUCUAUUAUGGAAUUUUCUAUGAAAAUUCAACAAUCAUUUGAGACUGGGACACUUUGAAUCAUUCAUAUACACUGUAUAUUGCUGGAUUUAAAAAUGAUAUUGAUGUAAAGAGAUAAUAUAAUAUUAAUAUUAGAAUAUAAUAUAAUAUUAGAAUUAUAUUAGAAUGAUUUAUCAUGGAUUCAUAAAAUAAAUUAAGCUUUGCCGUCUCAUGUAUACUAUUUUAAAAUACAUUAAAAUAUAAAACAGUUCUUUUGAAUUGUAAUCAUAUUUUACAGUAUUAAUGUUUUUACAGUAUUUUUGACCAAAUGCAUCUUUGGUGAGCAUAAAAGAUGCAUUUCAAAAACAUUGUUAAAAACAUUAAUUAUACUGUUCUCUCUCUUCUUUUCAUACAGUGUUGCAGGAAACCGGAAAUGGUUUACAUGAAAAAGACAGUACAAAAGUUGUUGGGGGCAGGAUAAAUGUUGAAUCAUUUGGAACAGAAGAAGGAGUCCUAAGAACCUGGGAAUGACUACAGUUUCUAAACUGCUACAUAUUUCACCACAUUCACUGAAAGAGUUAUCAUGCCUGGAGUUUAUUCACUUUGAGCCA
Molecule: RNA transcript, 1409 nt
Organism: Carassius carassius (crucian carp)
Lineage: Eukaryota; Metazoa; Chordata; Actinopteri; Cypriniformes; Cyprinidae
Gene name: tumor necrosis factor receptor superfamily member 14-like
Exons: 7
Source: RefSeq, a predicted model, not a curated record